Molecule: ribosomal RNA, 497 nt
Filed under: uncultured bacterium
Lineage: Bacteria
Description: partial 16S ribosomal RNA
Rfam family: Bacterial small subunit ribosomal RNA
Source: RNAcentral
GAUGAACGCUGGCGGCGUGCCUAAUACAUGCAAGUCGAGCGAACAGACGAGGAGCUUGCUCCUCUGACGUUAGCGGCGGACGGGUGAGUAACACGUGGAUAACCUACCUAUAAGACUGGGAUAACUUCGGGAAGCCGGAGCUAAUACCGGAUAAUAUAUUGAACCGCAUGGUUCAAUAGUGAAAGACGGUUUUGCUGUCACUUAUAGAUGGAUCCGCGCCGCAUUAGCUAGUUGGUAAGGUAACGGCUUACCAAGGCAACGAUGCGUAGCCGACCUGAGAGGGUGAUCGGCCACACUGGAACUGAGACACGGUCCAGACUCCUACGGGAGGCAGCAGUAGGGAAUCUUCCGCAAUGGGCGAAAGCCUGACGGAGCAACGCCGCGUGAGUGAUGAAGGUCUUCGGAUCGUAAAACUCUGUCAUUAGGGAAGAACAAAUGUGUAAGUAACUAUGCACGUCUUGACGGUACCUAAUCAGAAAGCCACGGCUAACUACGUG